Eucalyptus grandis is the source of this 1297-nucleotide long non-coding RNA. RefSeq lists it as uncharacterized. The record is from RefSeq and is a predicted model, not a curated record. The transcript has 2 exons. NCBI's taxonomy places the organism in Eukaryota, Viridiplantae, Streptophyta, Magnoliopsida, Myrtales, Myrtaceae.
CCACCGCCGCUGCUCGCUCGCGCCAGAAGCCUCGACGACGCCGAUUUUGCUGUCUCCGCUUGCGACCCACCGCCGCUGCUCGCGCCAGAAGCCCCGACGACGCCGAUUCUUUCUCUAUCAGAAGUCCCAAGUUUGUCUCCGACUUGCAGUCAUAACUAAUUUCACAUGAAGUCGAACAUCAUAUCUUUUUCUUUUAUUGUUUUCAUAGCUCGGGAAGUAUACUUAUGACGUGAUUUUGAUGUUAGAGGAUCAUUCAUGAAACUCUGUUUUGCUAAAACUCUUGCCAAUGGGGAAGCAGGAAAUGGUGGGUGAACAACUCGUAACCUCAUGGAAAUACAGAUUAGUUUUGGAGUGAAUAUUCACGAUGUUGAAAGUGGCUGGCUAGUGUAGAUUUGAAGCUGAAGAAAUCUGAAGGACCAAAUUGAUGUUUUGCUGAAGUAAAUUAGAACAUUCUGGUGCUGUGUUUCGAAUCUUUUAUUCAAACAUAUUUCAACUUUACUCCAGUACUUUGAUCUGCUGUCGAAUGGCGCUCCUGCAUAACAUGGUAAAUAUCUAUAUUAUUAUAUGCACACUCUAUUUAUGAUCUACAUCCUUCGCAACCACUAAACUCCCGCUGAUCUUGCAGAGACAGAACACAUUUUCACUGCUAGAGAGAGCGAUUACAGGAUCUUUCUCUAUAUGUUAGGAAGAAUGCUGUUCUUGUGCUCUCCCAUCUCAUAUUGAAUGAUAUGAUGAAGGUGAUUAACCAUCUUAGACCUGAAUACUUAGAAGAUGAAAUGGACACCUUCCAGGGUGUGGAUGAUUGGGAUGGUAUAACUUCUUAUUAAAGAGGAAUAUCUUCAGAAUUCUGAUUAUGGCAUGAUGUUUCUACCAUUGCUGUUUAUAUAUGCUUGUAGGAUGUGGAGCAAGGGACUUUAUGAAAACUUACUCAUAAAAUGGAAAUUGUCCGAAAACUGUGCUAGAACUUAUUCAUCCUGUAAUUUGAUGUGCUAUUCAAUUGGCCCUUGCAGUUCCCUGUGGAGAAUUACGUGGAGAAUCUCCUAAUUGAAGCCAUGAGGUAUGCGGUUCUUUUGAGAUGUUUGAUUCACCAAUGGAACUGGAGGAAAGGCUGAAGCUUCAGCAAGAGUCAUUAGAUCAUGGACCUACUAUUAUUUACGUCCCUACGAGGAAAGAAACUUUGACAAUUGCCAAAUUCUUGUGUGACUUCGGCAUCAAAGCAGCAGCUUAUAAUGCCAAGGUUUCAUUCUGCAUAAUAAAUACCAUUUUUAAUUGAUGUAUUCUCAAUUUGAUGGUUUCA